Molecule: ribosomal RNA, 491 nt
Filed under: uncultured bacterium
Lineage: Bacteria
Description: partial 16S ribosomal RNA
Rfam family: Bacterial small subunit ribosomal RNA
Source: RNAcentral
AGUGAACGCUGGCGGUAGGCCUAACACAUGCAAGUCGAACGGCAGCACAGUAAGAGCUUGCUCUUACGGGUGGCGAGUGGCGGACGGGUGAGGAAUACAUCGGAAUCUACUUUUUCGUGGGGGAUAACGUAGGGAAACUUACGCUAAUACCGCAUACGACCUACGGGUGAAAGCAGGGGAUCUUCGGACCUUGCGCGAUUGAAUGAGCCGAUGUCGGAUUAGCUAGUUGGCGGGGUAAAGGCCCACCAAGGCGACGAUCCGUAGCUGGUCUGAGAGGAUGAUCAGCCACACGGGAACUGAGACACGGUCCAGACUCCUACGGGAGGCAGCAGUGGGGAAUAUUGGACAAUGGGCGCAAGCCUGAUCCAGCCAUCCCGCGUGGGUGAAGAAGGCCUUCGGGUUGUAAAGCCCUUUUGUUGGGAAAGAAAAGCAGCAGGUUAAUACCCCGCUGUUCUGACGGUACCCAAAGAAUAAGCACCGGCUAACUUCGU